AACGAACGCUGGCGGCAGGCUUAACACAUGCAAGUCGAACGCCCCGCAAGGGGAGUGGCAGACGGGUGAGUAACGCGUGGGAACAUACCCUUUCCUGCGGAAUAGCUCCGGGAAACUGGAAUUAAUACCGCAUACACCCUACGGGGGAAAGAUUUAUCGGGGAAGGAUUGGCCCGCGUUGGAUUAGCUAGUUGGUGGGGUAAAGGCCUACCAAGGCGACGAUCCAUAGCUGGUCUGAGAGGAUGAUCAGCCACAUUGGGACUGAGACACGGCCCAAACUCCUACGGGAGGCAGCAGUGGGGAAUAUUGGACAAUGGGCGCAAGCCUGAUCCAGCCAUGCCGCGUGAGUGAUGAAGGCCUUAGGGUUGUAAAGCUCUUUCACCGAUGAAGAUAAUGACGGUAGUCGGAGAAGAAGCCCCGGCUAACUUCGUG
Molecule: ribosomal RNA, 431 nt
Filed under: uncultured bacterium
Lineage: Bacteria
Description: partial 16S ribosomal RNA
Rfam family: Bacterial small subunit ribosomal RNA
Source: RNAcentral